This 342-nucleotide ribosomal RNA is filed under the name Triticum aestivum (bread wheat). RNAcentral describes it as "partial small subunit ribosomal RNA". Lineage: Eukaryota; Viridiplantae; Streptophyta; Magnoliopsida; Poales; Poaceae. The record is from RNAcentral.
AUGUGUAAACAGUGGCUAUGGUGGCUCAAAGGGAAGCAGCGGCUGCUCCAUGGAAACACGCAACUUAGUGAUGUACUUUUUGUUUCUAGAUUUUGUUCACUCUCAUUAAAUUUUAAGCAAGAAAAUCCGCUACCCUGCAAAAAGUUCUUCCAACAAAUAUUUUUGUGUGUGCAGCUAAGAUCAAUCUUCCUAUUCAUUCAUUGCACGCUGUUAUUCUGUAGGACCGGCGAAGUGCAAGGUCAUGUACAAAGGAUAAGCUUGUCAAUGAAGGAAAUUCUAAAAGAAAGCGACUACAAGCAACAUUUGAAGGUACAGCUUGUAUUAUGUUACUUCAGAAAUUAA